GCUAGUAUAGCUUAACCAAAGCAUAACUCUGAAGAUGUUAAGAUGGGCCUUAAUUAGCCCUACAAGCA
This 68-nucleotide transfer RNA is filed under the name Cynoglossus roulei. RNAcentral's name for it is "tRNA-Phe". It matches the Rfam family "tRNA". Rfam says of the family: Transfer RNA (tRNA) molecules are approximately 80 nucleotides in length. Their secondary structure includes four short double-helical elements and three loops (D, anti-codon, and T loops). Further hydrogen bonds mediate the characteristic L-shaped molecular structure. tRNAs have two regions of fundamental functional importance: the anti-codon, which is responsible for specific mRNA codon recognition, and the 3' end, to which the tRNAs corresponding amino acid is attached (by aminoacyl-tRNA synthetases). tRNAs cope with the degeneracy of the genetic code in two manners: having more than one tRNA (with a specific anti-codon) for a particular amino acid; and 'wobble' base-pairing, i.e. permitting non-standard base-pairing at the 3rd anti-codon position. The record is from RNAcentral. Lineage: Eukaryota; Metazoa; Chordata; Actinopteri; Pleuronectiformes; Cynoglossidae.